UCCGGCGCACGAGACAGUGGCCGUUGGGGCUUCUGCAGCAAGCUUCGGGCUGGGGAUGCACCUGCCCUCGGCGGUUGGUGCACGCGCCAUGAACGCGGACACUGGCGCCUCUUCGUCGAGCGCUAGCCUCGGGCUGCGCCUCCCCACGCGGGUUGCUGCGCUUGGGGACGUCUUCGACAACAGGGAGAGCACCUCCACCGACCCCUCGGCGCCCCGUCGCUGGCACAUAGUGCCACGCGCCGUGCUGCAGCACGCCGGCCGUCGGCCGGGACGAUGGAGCCCGGUGAACCUUGGGCUGGCUAAUGGCCACUCCAAUGGAGUUGCUCCCGGGACGCACCUGCCUGGAGGGUCUUCUUCAGAGGAGGAAGAGGAUGCCGCGUCGGGGCCUUCUUCUCCGCAUUGGUGAGGCACCACCGGUGGCGGAGGUUGGUGGUGCUGGUGAAGAAAGCUUGCUGCUCGCGCUGGAUCUGAAUCGGGAUGGAUUUGUGGAUGAGAACGACAUGUCCUGGCUCCCUUAUCCUCCCAUUUUUUCCGGUGCGUAC
RNAcentral lists this long non-coding RNA (542 nucleotides) under Hordeum vulgare. Its description in RNAcentral is "long non-coding RNA (HVUL_LNC006559)". The record is from RNAcentral. Lineage: Eukaryota; Viridiplantae; Streptophyta; Magnoliopsida; Poales; Poaceae.